CUAGGAAUUCUAACAUUCCAGACUCUUUUUUUAUCAAAAAAAAAAAAAAAAAUGGCGGGUAAACGGGAAUGGGGUGCCGUGUCCCCCAAAACUGCUUCUAGCUGACUUGGUGGGUGUCAGUUAACUUUUGAGGGUAAGGAAGGGGGCUUUUGAGGUAGCUGGACAUCCUGAGAUGGUUGAUUGUCCUCCGCUGCCUUGGGAAUCAUCCAUUGCCUUCUGCUGCUCUGUGUAAUCAUUCGUUGCUGCUUGGAUCUGACUGUUUGGGUCCAACAAGGUGCUGAGCAAGGCCAGCAAUCUGGAUACCAGUGAAGUGGUCAAGGCCAUGGCAAGACUCUCCUGUGAUGAUCCUGGUACAGAAGCUCGCUGGAAGAAUAUUAAAAAGAACACAUCGGACGGAUGGACUGGUGGCUGCAGUUAUUAUGGGGAUCACUGCAUUGACAGCUACAGCAGCAACAGCUGGAGCACUUCAUAAAGAAAUCCAAAUCGCUGAGUUCAUUAGAGACUGGCAGAGACAUUCAGAAGAACUUUGGACUGAACAAAAAAGAAAUUAAAGAAGCUUUUGCAAAAACAGUUAACUGAUAUGACAGGAAAGGACAUUAUGAGCCUUCCAAGGAUACAAAGGCCUAUGCAAAACUUCGUUCAAGAAACCUGGAAAACUGUGGUACCUGAUGAAUCGAGGGAUUUGCACUUGGCAUUGUGUUUUGGCAUUGUAUUGAAGUCUCGUCAAUAUGGAUAUCUGAACAUGACAGUUCAUAAGGAUGGCACCAAUAGACAUGGAAGGGGGAAUGUUUAUGAGGACCCAACCCUAGAUAAAGAACUACAGACAACUGGGGAGUUCUGAGAGGAGAAAUAGUCUUUUCCAGAGAAGAGUACACUGAUUGGUCAUCCAAUACAAAUCAACCCUGAGAACACACACACAAGUACCAUUAUAUAGAUGGAGCAAGGAUAUUUAGGAAUAUAAUAUAUAUUUCUUGUAUAUAUAUGGAACACACACACACACACACACACACACACACACACACACACACACACACAAUAACAUCAGUUAAAGAAAAGGUGGCCAUGAAUUUGAGAAAGAGCAAGGGAGGUACAUGGGAGGAAUAGGAGGGCUAUCAUAUAUAUAUGACUCAUACAGUUCUAAAGUGAGGUUCCAUAAGACUCAAGAAGUCCUAACUGGAAAUACUCUAUAUAAAGCGGGGGGCGGGGGGGCCCCCCGCUCCUUAAGACUCAGGAAGUAAACAGGCCACCAACCUUGGGGACUACCCUCUCAUUCCCCAAGGUCACAUGAACAGUAGGGGGUGAUGAAGAGGGGAGACUUUUCAUCCUGUCCAGCUGCUUACAGGUCCUGCAGAGAGCUCCAGUCUUCAAGCUGUCAUGUGCUGGGAUAGACUUUUGGUGAUGUGGUUGCUUUUGAGUUGUCCGGCUCCUGUAAGAGAGCCCUCACCCAUAUUCCUGUAAGUGACCCUAGUAAACUCAU
Molecule: non-coding RNA, 1477 nt
Organism: Peromyscus maniculatus bairdii (prairie deer mouse)
Lineage: Eukaryota; Metazoa; Chordata; Mammalia; Rodentia; Cricetidae
Source: RefSeq, a predicted model, not a curated record